UUUCCGUAGGUGAACCUGCGGAAGGAUCAUUAGCGAAUUGAAUAUGUUAGCGGACCUCAUCGGAGUCCCUAGCAUCAAAUCAUAUCCAUAACUCCUGUGAACUGUGAGUCUGUCUUGAAGACGAAAGUGAUUGGAGCGCCUGCCCAAUUUAUACAAACAUUAAACUAACAAACGUAGUCUUAUUAUAAUGUAAUAAAACUUUCAACAACGGAUCUCUUGGCUCUG
RNAcentral lists this unclassified non-coding RNA (225 nucleotides) under plant metagenome. RNAcentral's name for it is "partial contains small subunit ribosomal RNA, internal transcribed spacer 1, and 5.8S ribosomal RNA". The record is from RNAcentral.